This 501-nucleotide ribosomal RNA is filed under the name fungal endophyte sp. D4-1B1-6-1. RNAcentral's name for it is "eukaryotic LSU rRNA". The stretch from base 169 to 322 matches the Rfam family "5.8S ribosomal RNA". The record is from RNAcentral. Lineage: Eukaryota; Fungi.
CGUAGGUGAACCUGCGGAAGGAUCAUUACCUAGAGUUGUAGGCUUUGCCUGCUAUCUCUUACCCAUGUCUUUUAAGUACCUUACGUUUCCUCGGCGGGUCCGCCCGCCGAUUGGACAAUUUAAACCAUUUGCAGUUGCAAUCAGCGUCUGAAAAAACUUAAUAGUUACAACUUUCAACAACGGAUCUCUUGGUUCUGGCAUCGAUGAAGAACGCAGCGAAAUGCGAUAAGUAGUGUGAAUUGCAGAAUUCAGUGAAUCAUCGAAUCUUUGAACGCACAUUGCGCCCCUUGGUAUUCCAUGGGGCAUGCCUGUUCGAGCGUCAUUUGUACCUUCAAGCUCUGCUUGGUGUUGGGUGUUUGUCUCGCCUCUGCGUGUAGACUCGCCUCAAAACAAUUGGCAGCCGGCGUAUUGAUUUCGGAGCGCAGUACAUCUCGCGCUUUGCACUCAUAACGACGACGUCCAAAAGUACAUUUUUACACUCUUGACCUCGGAUCAGGAGGA